GCACACAGAUGGAGGCCCCCAACCAUAUGUCUAAAUAUUAAAAAGUCAUAACUCACACUAAUGAGCUGUUAAAUAAAAUAGGUUUCUCUGCCUAUCUGGACACACAUUAUCUCCAUAAUGACCUGAAGGAAGGCUCCUAUUCAAAAUUGUCAGCUCCUUGGAAUUUUGCACCAGAGAGAGAGAGAACAUCUUACCCCAUUCCUGACUCCAUCCCAGGCCCAGCCGACACCUUAGUGCACGCGCACCCAAGCUCUGAACAGAGCCCCUCCUCUCUCCUUGCCGGGCAGGGUAAUCUCAGGCCCUCCUUAGUGGCCCCGAGGAUGGCUCUACUCUCCAUCUCUUUUCAGCCCAGCUGCCUGGUAAGUGUUAGAUCGUGCCAUCUGUGGUGGUCUCCUGUCUUGCUCAGAGGAGGUGUCGAAGCCAUCACAAGGGUCUGGAAGGAGCUUAUAUGCCCUAGGACCUCCCCGGGGACCUGAUGAAAAUGCAGAUUCUGAUUGAGGAGGUCUGGAGGGGGCCUGGGCAUCUGCAUUCCUAACAACCGCCCCCCCCCCUCCCUCAGAUGU
This 563-nucleotide long non-coding RNA is filed under the name Mustela putorius furo (domestic ferret). RNAcentral describes it as "lncRNA (ENSMPUG00000031575.1)". Lineage: Eukaryota; Metazoa; Chordata; Mammalia; Carnivora; Mustelidae. The record is from RNAcentral.